UUCGCAAUGCCCGAAAGGGUGACGAAGCGACGCCGCGUGUGGGAAGAAGGCCUUCGGGUUGUAAACCACUGUCGGGAGUUAAGAAAUACAAGGAUAUUAAUAGUGUCUUUGUUUGACUAAGGCUCCGGAGGAAGCCACGGCUAACUCUGUGCCAGCAGCCGCGGUAAUACAGAGGCGGCAAGCGUUGUUCGGAGUUAUUGGGCGUAAAGAGCACGUAGGCGGCUAUGUAAGUCGGUUGUGAAAGCCUUCCGCUCAACGGAAGAACAGCAUCCGAUACUACAUGGCUUGAGUGCGGGAGGGGAGAGUGGAACUUCUGGUGGAGCGGUGAAAUGCGUAGAUAUCAGAAGGAACGCCGGCGGCGAAAGCGGCUCUCUGGCCCAUAACUGACGCUGAGUGUGCGAAAGCUAGGGGAGCAAACGGGAUUAGAUACCCCGGUAGUCCUAGCCGUAAACGAUGGGCACUAAGUAGAGGGGUUUU
This 477-nucleotide ribosomal RNA is filed under the name uncultured bacterium. Its description in RNAcentral is "bacterial SSU rRNA". It matches the Rfam family "Bacterial small subunit ribosomal RNA", at positions 365 to 832 of the family's 1533-position model. The record is from RNAcentral.